Cyprinus carpio carpio is the source of this 1332-nucleotide long non-coding RNA. Lineage: Eukaryota; Metazoa; Chordata; Actinopteri; Cypriniformes; Cyprinidae. The record is from Ensembl.
UCACAGCAAACACCAAAAGAUACAAAAAUCCAUAAGUGCAUCAGUUAACUCCAACACUUCAGUACACACCACAAAGUCACUCAAUAUGAGCCAAAACCACUCUGGCUGGCUACUUAGCCGUCGUCAAUAUAAAACAAUAUGAAAAAUGGCACAUGAAAGAUAAGAACCUGCCACACACACACACACACACACACACACACACACAGAAAGAGAAAAUACAAACGCCGGGGGACCGGUAACAAUUAGUCAAUCACAUUAACCCAGGACUCCCCGGCGAAUACAACACUUCAUAUACAAAUAAUUUAAGAACCAUAAGGGCAGAAAAUUGUCUGCUGGUCUUCUUACCCGCUACCGGACAUGAGGUACAGCGUUCGAGAAAACAACCGGCGGCCGCCGAACUUUAAUAAGGGAAACUCAAGAUUACAAACCAACCCUCCUAAUCGCUUUGCACGCAUCGCAGAAAAGACAUCCAACCCACGUCCCGGCACGGUAGCCUCGGCAAGGCGCUCAGCAACCCUCGCAUACAAAAUUCCCUCCUUAACAACAGCAGACCUCAUACCUUUAUUGAUCCCCUUAAGAAUACAGCACAGGUGUUUGUCUUUUUCCCUUAAUGAGACAAGGCAGAUACUACGGGCACUACCACUGUCGCCCCUCCCCUUGUCUAAAAUAAAGGGCUUACACAGUGCUUGAGUUGGGAUUAUACCAGCACGUUUCUGAACCGUCCCAGAAGCGACUCUCCAAUGCAUUUAUACAGCGAUCUGUCAUGCCAAAUCAAAGACUGUCAAAACGGCGUUUAUUAUUUGAAUUUCCUGAGAAAACAAACAAACAAACAAACAAAAAAACUGUAUUUGUUCGGUUACCGAAAUGGUUCGGUACAAAUACAUGUACCGUUACACCCUUAGUAAGUAGAUUAGUAAGUAGUAGAUAGUAAGUAGUAAGCUUUAUUAAACAAAUUGAUAUUAAUUUGUUUGUGUGUGUGUGCUUCCCCAUUAUGAUCCAGAAGUUUUGGGAAUGAAAAUCUUCUAAAACAUGAUCUUAAGAGGAAGUGAGUAUUAAUAAUUCAUGUCUAACAUUAAGACAUACUAACAUUAAUUUAUUUUUAAAGGAAUGUUCACAGUAUUUUUCUUCUAUGUUUUUAAUUUGUUUUAAUCCCAGAUAAAAAAGUGUCUUCUCACAAUCGUUUUAUUAUUAUUAUUAUUAUUAUUAUUAUUAUUUUAUUUUUUAUUUAUUUAUUCUAUUUUUUUUUUAUCUCCUUCUGAUUACUGGCAAUUUGGAGGAGGACUGCUCUUUAUCUGCUGUGUCUGUCACUUCUGGUACAGAGUCAUGGACCUU